AAAAUAACAAGGCAGGUUUAAUUACUGUAGGGUACAGAGGACUAAUAAGACUUCUCUGUCGCAUUGUGAUCAAACAUAUGGGGGUCGUGAGCCGGGAUGUUACGCUGACUGAUUAAGGAUGAGGCCCAUGUGACAGCAUCACUCUAGCAGGAAGCCGCUUCACUAUUGACAAGGAGAGCAUAGACGCCCCGAGACACAUCCCAACAGUCACAUCAAUUGGGGCAGAAUCUCAGGGGAGCAACCGUCACACAAGUCCCAGAAACACUGUACAGAGCCAAGCAGAUGUACUCUACUGAGAGCUUUUCAAGAGUCGUCUUCUACAGAGUCUGUCAAGUUGAACCACCACGUUUCUACAGUAGCCCAGAAUGGACAAGCACACACUGAGUAAACUUUAUUUGUUAACGAAGACCGUGUGACACAGUCAGCAGCCAGAAGCGACUGCCUGAUUCUAGUUUGAGGACUGCAUACCAACACACAGGGUCAAGGUUGAAAUAACCUCAAUUAAGUAACGCAUACAACCCCAACGCCUCCUGAACACAGCAGCACCCCUAACAUCUUCAUCUUACAACAAAUUACAUCACUUUCAAUUAAUAGCACAUUUGAUAUUUGACUUCAAAUGCUUACAUUUAAGUGAAGAUACAACAGUGGGCGCUUGACAUCUAAAAAUAAUAACCACAGUGGGAGUAAUUCAUUAUUUAUUUGGUAUAUAUUUAUGGGACUGUUCUGAUACAUCAGAUUGAAAGCAU
Molecule: long non-coding RNA, 746 nt
Filed under: Dicentrarchus labrax (European seabass)
Lineage: Eukaryota; Metazoa; Chordata; Actinopteri; Moronidae
Description: lncRNA (ENSDLAG00005027648.1)
Source: RNAcentral